Molecule: long non-coding RNA, 5230 nt
Filed under: Brassica napus (rape)
Lineage: Eukaryota; Viridiplantae; Streptophyta; Magnoliopsida; Brassicales; Brassicaceae
Description: long non-coding RNA (BNAP_LNC016985)
Source: RNAcentral
CAGCCGAUGAUGAUGAACCGGCCUCCACAAAUGCAGCAUGGCAUGCCUGUGCCGCCUCCACCGGGAUCACAAUUUGCUCAUCUUCAAGUUCCAAGACCAUAUGGUCAGCUUCCACCAACUAUGCAUGGGAUGAUGCAACCACCACCUAUGCAUGGGAUGCCGCCUCCACCACCACAUGAGGAGGCACCACCUCUUCCUGAGGAGCCAGAGCCAAAGAGACAGAAAUUCGACGAGUCAGCUCUCGUUCCAGAAGAACAAUUCCUUGCUCAGCAUCCGGUAAUGUUUUCUAUAAACCCUUCAGUCCUUUUCUUUUAUCUUUUGUCUGAGUUGUAUCUUACAUAAUUUGGUUUCUAUGUAUGCAGGGUCCUGCUACGAUCAGGGUCUCUGUUCCAAACGUGGAUGAUGGGCAAGUCAUUGAGAUCACAGUGCAGUCAUUAUCAGAAAACGUGGGAAGUUUGAAAGAGAAGAUAGCUGGUGAAACACAGAUUCCAGCAAACAAACAGAAGUUGAGUGGAAAAGCUGGGUUCUUAAAGGACAACUUGUCACUUGCACAUUACAAUGUUGGAGCAGGUGAAAUGUUAACACUGUCUUUGAGAGAACGUGGUGGGAGAAAGAGAUAGAGAGGGUAAGCUGUUGGAUGCAGAGAAAUGCUUUUUAUUCCUUCUUUAGAUGUUUUCAAAACUUGGUGGCCAAAACUAUAUGUACUGCUAUCUUUUUCGCACAUCCUUACUCUUGGCCCAUUGCAUCUAGUAUCUAUUGAAGUUUUAGAUUGAAGAGGAAAGAUUAUUACAGACUUAAGUUCGUUUUGCAGCUAGUAUCUGAGGUAACGUUUUGGCAAACUCCUUUUUACCAUCUGAUACUUUGUUUUGCAUUUGCCUUGAUCAUGCGUCUUCCUACUAUGGUACACGAUAUUACAAUACUGAAACAUAUAGCAUGGUUAAUUACCAGCAUAAGCUCUCAGAACCAAACUCUUGCUUUUAACCAUGGUACUAUUUUUACUUGCUUCACUUCGAUUGUAUCAAACAACGUAAAAAUAGAUGAGACAUGUUUGAAACAAUAUGAAGCAUUAAUAGAAAAUAAAACAGACUUUAAGUUUCUAUAAUGAGAUUUACGACUACACAAAAAAAUAAAGUAAACACUACAGUGGCCUAUAAUAACUACUACAACAUUUUUGAAGUGCCCUCUGGAUGACUCUGAAACCAUCUUGUAUCGUAUGGGUCGUCGACUCUUUAUCAAGAAACAAGUUGAAAGAAGAAAACAGAGAGUUGGGGUUCAUCCUUAUUUGGUUGAUCCUAAUAUAUAAUAAAGUUUCCCUAAUGCUUGAUGAUUUCAAGAGAAGGUGUGACAAAAGAAGAUGAUCGGACGCGAGACUGUCCACUUGUCCGGGAAGAGAACCAAAGACAAGAAGAGAAAACAACUCUCAAAACUCUUCUCAGGACUUCUCCUCUCUUUGGGACUAGACUAGCUCCUCUUCCAGCCAUUUCUUUUUGUCUUUCUGCUCGGUUUAUGUCGGUUUGAUUUGGUUUAGUAGUAGUAGUGAUGAGAUAUGUGUCUGCAAGCUGGAACUGCCGACAUGACUCUAAUAUAGGAAGCGUUGUAACGAUAUACAGUGACCGCGUUAAAAUUCUCAAUACGCGUUGGCUCGUUCUUAUUUUUCUUCUUUUCAUGCAAAUUCAUUUAUGAUUUUGGAAAUUUGUAUAUAUUUUGGGAUAAUAUAUGUUGCAUAAAAGUGAUUAAUAAUAGGUUUACUUUUGAAUAGUUACUGUUCAUAGUUUGAAGUGGUCCUAGACUCUCUUUUUUUCUAUGGUACCAAGUUAACGCGUUUUUAGUUUUGUUAUUAAUACUAGGGCCGGAGCUCCGCGCAAGCGCGGGUUGUUGACGUUACCGUAAGUUGUCUAGGAUUUGCCGCAGUUUGUGAACCUGUCACUAAAAUUGUGCAGUAGCUGUGGGAAAAAUUGUAUAUUAUGCUUUUCAUAUGGGUGAUUAUACGUUUGAUGUUUCUCUGAAUUAGUUUUAGUAUUUUCAUUAGGGGUUUUAUAUGUGCUAUAGUUCGUUUAUUGAUUUGGUGGUGUUUUUGGGUGUGAGUAAGGUUAUUUUAAAAGUCCAUUGUAGAGUUAGUAAUUAAAACUACAGCAAUUACAAAAGUCCGUUUAGCAUUGUGCAACUUUACUGAUUUAUAAAGUUGGGGACAUUGGUAAAUAAGCAAAGACACGUAGACUCUUUCUUUAUUAUUUAAAGUUGUAGUAAUUCUUAUACCAGUAAAAAAUAGUUUGCAGCAAAUCAAAGAGAACUAAAGCUCAAAGUUGAAAAAACACGGAAGUAGAAAAUUAAAAUGAAACGAAAUCUAAGUGGAGUUGACGGUUAGAUGACCUUGCGACAAUCAAUCAAGGAAGCGUUUGCGGGUGUUCUCGUCACCAGCAGAACCUAUCAGGCUUGCUUCAGCAACUCCCAGUGGAAUCUUUGGCACAUCACCCAGGUUGCUGGCAGAUUCUGUUGCUUGUCCAGAUUCCAUAUCCAUGACUGGAGCUGGGUCGCUGCUGCUACUCUAAGAAACAGUAGAACAUGUGUGUUAAUUUAUAUUAGCAGUUUUAAAAACUGUGAAUACAUAGAUUACCCCACCUCUGCCUCGGUGCCAAAUAAAUAUUAGCAGUUUUAAAAACUGUGAGUACAUACAUAUAUAUAUAUAUAUAUAUAUAUAUUAGGUUGUUACUUUAAAAAUGGAUCGGGAAUAACAGUUCAUACCUGAUGUCCGGUCACGUUGGAAGAAACACACCUGUUGCAACGGAAGAAAGUGCCAGAUUUUGUAAGCUUCCUGCUGCAACUGGUGCAAGAAAUAAACGCCCAGCCAUUUUGUUGGAGGACACCAACAAUCUGAACCUUGCAAAUAAAAUCAGCUUCUUGAGGAUGACAACAUUGCUAACAUUAGUUGAUACUAUUUUGGAACCACAUAAGAGUACUAAAGUAUGUUUAAAGACGGAGUGUUACCUGCUGCCCAUUGGAGUUGGAGUUGAAGAUGAAAGUGUGAAGAUCUCCUAUUGACAUUAGUUCCUUCUUUUUAAUACCUUCUAUGGAAUCAACUCGAGUUCCAUGACACAAGUACAACAACGGAACUGGAAUGGGAGAAUAUUUUAGUUUAAAAAAAAAACAAUGAGCUAAGCAUUUUAAAAUAUUAGUACGUAAGUUCAUGACUUAUGGGUCAAUUAGGAGACAGACCUCAUUUCGUAAGUUGUUCAGGUCAGAGCCUUGAACAAUACGGAUUUGUCCAAACACAUCUGAAAAUGAAAGCAUUUUUUAAUAAUGAAAACAUAGUAUAUGUAGAUUGUGGUUGAAAUUUAACAUGCAAAACUCUAUUGAAAACUAUACCGGAGGCUAUAAGUUAGUGUUUGCAAGAGCUUGGAGAUGGUCGAACUUUCAAAGGAUGAAUUUCUGGAGAUUGAUAACAGUUGAAAUCAUGGCAAAUUCAUCAAUAGUUGUUGGGGGAAUGAUACAGAUGACGAAAGGAUGAUCCGUGAUCUUGUACAUAUUAGUGCAUCAGCCGAUUUAAAAGAGAUCAACUUUCACGAUCGACCCCUCUCUUAGCGAUGGAUGGACGGUAGUGAUUCACACCACCAGCUGGGAUGAAAACCGUGGAUAACAGAGUAGCUUGAAUAUUGAUUAAACAAAUAUAGUAUAUAGUAGUCCAGAGAAAGUAAAGAUGUUGAUACAUUUUCAUCAAGGAAGAGGAGAUGUUGAUAAUCAAGGAAGAGGAGGGUGAUUCCCAUACAUUCACCGCUUUUAUUGAUGUUCCACGAAUCCAGAAAAGGAGGAGGCGGUUGUACGACCUAGCUCUCGUCAAAGGUGGAGGGGAGGGCGGCUCAUCGACAGCAGCAGCACCAGAGUAAGACAUUUGGAAUGAGGGUUCUAGGUUUUCGGGGGAGGAUAAACUUAGAGAGCUUGUGUGUGAAGCUUGAUUCCAGUCUCAAGCCUCUCGUAUUUCUACGGUUUGAUGUCUUCUUUGGUUUUGAUACGCAUCAAGCGUUGAUAGUAAAGUAAGGGAAACAGAGAGUUCGUAGGAGUUACGGAUUUUAAUGUGAACUGAAAAUUCAUUGCAUAUGGUAAGAGAGUAAAGUUCAAGGGAGUGGCCAAAAGAGAAGGAAAUGAAGAGAAACGGGAGGUAGAAAGGUGAGAGGAAAAUUGACUUUCCAAACAACGGCGGAGACAGUGUUGGUCAACCGUCGAAGAUGAAUACUACUUCAAACCACAAUCGACCUAAUCCUAAACGCAGAGUUUGGUUUACUUACCAGAAAACUUAAGGUGAUGAAGGGCUUCACUAUGGAUUUUGGGCUGAAUUGAAUUUCUUAACAGGAACAGUAGUAAAACAUAUAUUACGGGCCACAACAAAAUUAAUUUAGUCUAAACCAAUGUACGAAGACUGAAUAUUUCUGGUCUAAGUGGGAACCACCAAAACCAUUAGAUUUUAGGUUGGGCUGCCAAAAGUUUUUAAUGGGCUGCGAAGACUAACUUAAUUUUUGGAAUAAUUUUUGUAUUCCAAGCCAGUCCGCGAUGACCUGUCAUUUUAAUUGGCCAGGAAUAUUUCAUCUGACAUGGCACCAUUUAGAAGCUCCAAAAAUAGCUCCUUUUAUAUAGUAAGACUAGGUAACAACCCGCGCCUUGCGCGGGAUGUGAUUAUUAGUUUCGUUAUUUUUAAUAAAAAAGACAAUAAAUCUGUUUAAUCUGGAUAUUGGUUAGGUUUUACGUUUUUUUGUUUUUAAUCUUCUAAAAUAUAACUAUUAUUUUAAAUUAAUAUUCAUUUUAGUUUAUUCGGUUAAAACAUUUGAUUUUUUGGUUUUUUCGGAUAAAAACCUAAAAUUAAUAUUAUAUAUUUAUUUUCAUAUUAUGAAGUUUAGAUAAUUGUCAUGUCGAAUCAAUAGUUUCAUAUUAUAGUUUUUAAACAGAUAAUAGUUUAAGAAAAAGAAAAGAAAAUUAUAAGACAAAUCAUUUCACUACAAUUUGGUCGGUAGUGAAAGAAACAUUAAGAAAAAAUUUGCUCAUCUUCAAGUUCCAAGACCAUAUGGUCAGCUUCCACCAACUAUGCAUGGGAUGAUGCAACCACCACCUAUGCAUGGGAUGCCGCCUCCACCACCACAUGAGGAGGCACCGCCGCCUCUUCCUGAGGAGCCAGAGCCAAAGAGACAAAAAUUCGACGAGUCGGCUCUUGUUCCAGAAGAACAGUUCCUUGCUCAGCAUCCGG